RNAcentral lists this ribosomal RNA (851 nucleotides) under Flavobacterium sp. AKB-2008-JO9. RNAcentral describes it as "bacterial SSU rRNA". It matches the Rfam family "Bacterial small subunit ribosomal RNA", at positions 23 to 880 of the family's 1533-position model. The record is from RNAcentral. Lineage: Bacteria; Pseudomonadati; Bacteroidota; Flavobacteriia; Flavobacteriales; Flavobacteriaceae.
CUCAGGAUGAACGCUAGCGGCAGGCUUAACACAUGCAAGUCGAGGGGUAUAUGUCUUCGGAUAUAGAGACCGGCGCACGGGUGCGUAACGCGUAUGCAAUCUACCUUUUACAGAGGGAUAGCCCAGAGAAAUUUGGAUUAAUACCUCAUAGUAUAGUGACUCGGCAUCGAGAUACUAUUAAAGUCACAACGGUAAAAGAUGAGCAUGCGUCCCAUUAGCUAGUUGGUAAGGUAACGGCUUACCAAGGCUACGAUGGGUAGGGGUCCUGAGAGGGAGAUCCCCCACACUGGUACUGAGACACGGACCAGACUCCUACGGGAGGCAGCAGUGAGGAAUAUUGGACAAUGGGCGCAAGCCUGAUCCAGCCAUGCCGCGUGCAGGAUGACGGUCCUAUGGAUUGUAAACUGCUUUUGUACGAGAAGAAACACUCCUUCGUGAAGGAGCUUGACGGUAUCGUAAGAAUAAGGAUCGGCUAACUCCGUGCCAGCAGCCGCGGUAAUACGGAGGAUCCAAGCGUUAUCCGGAAUCAUUGGGUUUAAAGGGUCCGUAGGCGGUUUAGUAAGUCAGUGGUGAAAGCCCAUCGCUCAACGGUGGAACGGCCAUUGAUACUGCUAAACUUGAAUUAUUAGGAAGUAACUAGAAUAUGUAGUGUAGCGGUGAAAUGCUUAGAGAUUACAUGGAAUACCAAUUGCGAAGGCAGGUUACUACUAAUGGAUUGACGCUGAUGGACGAAAGCGUGGGUAGCGAACAGGAUUAGAUACCCUGGUAGUCCACGCCGUAAACGAUGGAUACUAGCUGUUGGAAGCAAUUUCAGUGGCUAAGCGAAAGUGAUAAGUAUCCCACCUGGGGAG